RNAcentral lists this ribosomal RNA (460 nucleotides) under uncultured bacterium. RNAcentral's name for it is "partial 16S ribosomal RNA". It matches the Rfam family "Bacterial small subunit ribosomal RNA", at positions 338 to 795 of the family's 1533-position model. The record is from RNAcentral.
CCUACGGGUGGCAGCAGUGAGGAAUAUUGGUCAAUGGGCGCGAGCCUGAACCAGCCAAGUAGCGUGAGGGAUGACUGCCCUACGGGUUGUAAACUUCUUUUAUCAAGGAAUAAAGUGAGGCACGUGUGCCUUUUUGUAUGUACUUUAUGAAUAAGGAUCGGCUAACUCCGUGCCAGCAGCCGCGGUAAUACGGAGGAUCCGAGCGUUAUCCGGAUUUAUUGGGUUUAAAGGGAGCGUAGAUGGGUUGUUAAGUCAGUUGUGAAAGUUGGCGGCUCAACCGUAAAAGUGCAAUUGAUACUGGCAGCCUUGAGUGCAGUUGAGGUAGGCGGAAUUCGUGGUGUAGCGGUGAAAUGCUUAGAUAUCACGAAGAACUCCGAUUGCGAAGGCAGCUUACUAAGCUGCCACUGACAUUGAUGCUCGAAAGUGUGGGGAUCGAACAGGAUUAGAUACCCGAGUAGUC